RNAcentral lists this ribosomal RNA (465 nucleotides) under uncultured bacterium. RNAcentral describes it as "partial 16S ribosomal RNA". It matches the Rfam family "Bacterial small subunit ribosomal RNA", at positions 28 to 507 of the family's 1533-position model. The record is from RNAcentral.
GACGAACGCUGGCGGCGUGCUUAACACAUGCAAGUCGUACGGUAAGGCCCUUUCGGGGGUACACGAGUGGCGAACGGGUGAGUAACACGUGAGUAACCUGCCCACAACUUUGGGAUAACGCUAGGAAACUGGUGCUAAUACUGGAUAUGUGCUCCUGCUGCAUGGUGGGGGUUGGAAAGCUCCGGCGGUUGUGGAUGGACUCGCGGCCUAUCAGCUUGUUGGUGGGGUAGUGGCCUACCAAGGCGGCGACGGGUAGCCGGCCUGAGAGGGUGACCGGCCACAUUGGGACUGAGAUACGGCCCAGACUCCUACGGGAGGCAGCAGUGGGGAAUCUUGCACAAUGGGCGCAAGCCUGAUGCAGCACCGCCGCGUGCGGGAUGCCGGCCUUCGGGUUGUAAACCGCUUUCAGCAGGGACGAAGCUUUUUGUGACGGUACCUGCAGAAGAAGCACCGGCUAACUACGUG